GGAGUCUUGGCGGAGAAAGCAAUGGCAACCUACUCCAGUACUCUUGCUUGGAAAAUCCCAUGGACGGAGGAGCCUGGUAGGCUGCAGUCCAUGGGGUUGCUAAGAGUCAGGCACGACUGAGCGACUUCACUUUCAUUUUCACUUUUAUGCAUUGGAGAAGGAAAUGGCAACCCACUCCAGUAUUCUUGCCUGGAGAAUCCCAGGGACAGAGGAGCCUAGUGGGCUGCCGUCUAUGGGGUCGCACAGAGUUGGACACGAUUGAACCGACUUAGCAGCAGCAGCAGCAGGAGUCUUGGAGUUUAAAUGGGAUGCUUCUUUAGAGUGUGAGUGUUAUGUGAAGUGUAAACAGGAGAGGAACAAGGGGUCGGCUUCAAGAAACACAGAGUUGAAGAGGGGAGAUUUCUUCUUGCCAAAGGUGGUCCCAGUAACUACAGCACCUUCACUAAAUGGGCCUGAUUGAGGACCUGCCUGCUCAUCCUUGCAGCCAAGAUGCAGGCCUGGCAGAGCCAGUCUCCUGAUGACUCAUCGUCCCUUCAGAGGUUUCCUGGACCCCUACUCAAGAAAACACUGGGCUGUGCCUCUCAAGUACAGCAAUGAACAGGUGUUCUUUGGCAGGUGUUUCCAUGACCUGAGGGUGUUUCUGAGCUGUGGAGGCCACAUCAUUGCAUCCAGUGGGGCUGCAACCUCUACCUAGGCCCUCCAUUAUCGCACCCAGGGUCUUCUCUAGAAGGUCCCAGGUCCUCUGCAGAAGUCUCAGGGAUCCAUCUUCAGCCCAGCUCCCUUUUCCGGGUCCCCAUCACCCCCUUCCAUCAUCGUGUUCUGCAGCCAGCCGCCCGGGAGCUGAAUCAGAGCCAUAGAGCUAACAUUUCGCACACACGUCUCUCCAGAUGACAGGCAAGAUGGGCCUUCUGCCCUCGGCCCACACACACACCCGUGCUCAGGAAGUACAGAAAGUCAGGGCUGCACCCUACAGGGGGUAGGGGAGGAGGGCUGGGGGCCCAUUUCCUUCUGGAUAACCGGCCUGGACCUGGCCCCUCAGGGUUUUGCUUAAGACAGGGACUUACUUCUUAAGGAGCAGAAAAAAUACAAUAUGAGAGAGAAAGAGAGAUUGUAGACAGAGACUGUAAGAGAGUUCAUAUCAGAGAUGGGAUGGGACAGGGAAACAGGGCCGGAGAGGCAGGGUUACACACUGGAUAGACUCUGACAUCAGAGACAGGGACAGGGAAAGACAGAUAUAGGGACAGG
Molecule: long non-coding RNA, 1245 nt
Filed under: Bos indicus x Bos taurus (hybrid cattle)
Lineage: Eukaryota; Metazoa; Chordata; Mammalia; Artiodactyla; Bovidae
Description: lncRNA (ENSBIXG00000026425.1)
Source: RNAcentral